Molecule: ribosomal RNA, 482 nt
Filed under: uncultured bacterium
Lineage: Bacteria
Description: partial 16S ribosomal RNA
Rfam family: Bacterial small subunit ribosomal RNA
Source: RNAcentral
AUUGAACGCUGGCGGCAUGCCUUACACAUGCAAAUCGAACGGUAACAGGUCUUCGGAUGCUGACGAGUGGCGAACGGGUGAGUAAUACAUCGGAACGUGCCCGAUCGUGGGGGAUAACGGAGCGAAAGCUUUGCUAAUACCGCAUACGAUCUACGGAUGAAAGCAGGGGACCGCAAGGCCUUGCGCGGACGGAGCGGCCGAUGGCAGAUUAGGUAGUUGGUGGGAUAAAAGCUUACCAAGCCGACGAUCUGUAGCUGGUCUGAGAGGACGACCAGCCACACUGGGACUGAGACACGGCCCAGACUCCUACGGGAGGCAGCAGUGGGGAAUUUUGGACAAUGGGCGAAAGCCUGAUCCAGCCAUGCCGCGUGCAGGAUGAAGGCCUUCGGGUUGUAAACUGCUUUUGUACGGAACGAAAAGACUCUUUCUAAUAAAGAGGGUCCAUGACGGUACCGUAAGAAUAAGCACCGGCUAACUACGUG